ACACUCCUGCGGGAGGCAGCAGUGGGGAAUUUUGGACAAUGGGCGAAAGCCUGAUCCAGCCAUGCCGCGUGCAGGAUGAAGGCCUUCGGGUUGUAAACUGCUUUUGUACGGAACGAAACGGCCUUUUCUAAUAAAGAGGGCUGAUGACGGUACCGUAAGAAUAAGCACCGGCUAACUACGUGCCAGCAGCCGCGGUAAUACGUAGGGUGCAAGCGUUAAUCGGAAUUACUGGGCGUAAAGCGUGCGCAGGCGGUUAUGUAAGACAGUUGUGAAAUCCCCGGGCUCAACCUGGGAACUGCAUCUGUGACUGCAUAGCUAGAGUACGGUAGAGGGGGAUGGAAUUCCGCGUGUAGCAGUGAAAUGCGUAGAUAUGCGGAGGAACACCGAUGGCGAAGGCAAUCCCCUGGACCUGUACUGACGCUCAUGCACGAAAGCGUGGGGAGCAAACAGGAUUAGAUACCCGUGUAGUCCCA
This 473-nucleotide ribosomal RNA is filed under the name uncultured organism. Its description in RNAcentral is "partial 16S ribosomal RNA". It matches the Rfam family "Bacterial small subunit ribosomal RNA", at positions 333 to 797 of the family's 1533-position model. The record is from RNAcentral.